CCAACGGCUCUUUCUUAGAGCCACAAAUACAAUGAAUCAUGCUUUU
Non-coding RNA from Loa loa (African eye worm), 46 nucleotides. NCBI's taxonomy places the organism in Eukaryota, Metazoa, Nematoda, Chromadorea, Rhabditida, Onchocercidae. The record is from Rfam.